CACGUAGGGCGCGAGCGUUGUCCGGAAUUAUUGGGCGUAAAGAGCUCGUAGGCGGCCUGUUGCGUCCGCUGUGAAAGCCCGGGGCUUAACCCCGGGUCGGCAGUGGAUACGGGCAGGCUAGAGGUAGGUAGGGGAGAAUGGAAUUCCCGGUGUAGCGGUGAAAUGCGCAGAUAUCGGGAGGAACACCGGUGGCGAAGGCGGUUCUCUGGGCCUUACCUGACGCUGAGGCAGCGAAAGCGUGGGGAGCGAACAGG
RNAcentral lists this ribosomal RNA (254 nucleotides) under uncultured bacterium. Its description in RNAcentral is "partial 16S ribosomal RNA". It matches the Rfam family "Bacterial small subunit ribosomal RNA", at positions 524 to 776 of the family's 1533-position model. The record is from RNAcentral.